GAUGAACGCUGGCGGCGUGCCUAAUACAUGCAAGUAGAGCGAACAGACGAGGAGCUUGCUCCUCAGACGUUAACGGCGGACGGGUGAGUAACACGUGGAUAACCUACCUAUAAGACUGGGAUAACUUCGGGAAACCGGAGCUAAUAACGGAUAAUAUAUUGAACUGCAUGGUUCAAUAGUGAAUGACGGUUUUGCUGUAACUUAUAGCUGGAUCCGCGUCGCAUUAGCUAUUUGGUAAGGUAACGGCUAACCAAGGCGACGAUGCGUAGCCGACCUGAGAGGGUGAUCGGCCACACUGGACCUGGGACAGGGUCCAGACUCCUACGGGGGGCAGCAUUAGGGAAUCUUCCGCAAUGGGGGAAAGCCGGACGGAGCAACGCCGCGGGGGGGAUGAAGGUCUUCGGAUCGUAAAACUCUGUUAAUAGGGAGGAACAAAGGUGUAAUUAACUAUGCACGUCUUGACGGUACCUAAUCAGAAAGCCACGGCUAACUACGUG
Molecule: ribosomal RNA, 497 nt
Filed under: uncultured bacterium
Lineage: Bacteria
Description: partial 16S ribosomal RNA
Rfam family: Bacterial small subunit ribosomal RNA
Source: RNAcentral